UACGUAGGGGGCAAGCGUUGUCCGGAUUUAUUGGGCGUAAAGAGCUCGUAGGCGGCUUAGUAAGUCGGGUGUGAAACCUCCAGGCUCAACCUGGAGACGCCACCCGAUACUGCUGUGGCUAGAGUCCGGUAGGGGAGCGUGGAAUUCCUGGUGUAGCGGUGAAAUGCGCAGAUAUCAGGAGGAACACCAGCGGCGAAGGCGGCGCUCUGGGCCGGUACUGACGCUGAGGAGCGAAAGCGUGGGGAGCAACAGG
RNAcentral lists this ribosomal RNA (253 nucleotides) under uncultured bacterium. RNAcentral's name for it is "partial 16S ribosomal RNA". It matches the Rfam family "Bacterial small subunit ribosomal RNA", at positions 524 to 775 of the family's 1533-position model. The record is from RNAcentral.